GGCGGGUGGACGACGGAGAUGACCUGGGGCGGCAACGGUUGGUUGACGGAGGAGGUUGAAGAGCAGAGGGGUCUCGUGGCAAUGUUGGAGCGGCGUUGGCGUGCUGCUUCAUCGCCGGAAAGGGGAAAAUGAAGGGAGAGAUGGUGAUGGAGGCUGAGGGGCUGACGGCGCGGCACUGGCAGCGGCGAGGACGAACGGCAGGAGGCAGUGGUAGAUCUGGUAUCGCCGGAGUAGGCGUUGGCGGCGCAUAUAGAGGGCGGUGGGAAAGCUAUUGGAGAAGGGGGUCUCGGUGGCGCUGCUCCGCCGAUCAGCGGCGGCAGCCAUGGGAAAGAGAGGUUAGAUAGAGAGAGAAGGAGAGGUGAGAGAGAGAAGGGGCGGCUGUUGUUUGGUUUUGGAAUUAGGGUUAGGUUUUCGGAUUAAAAAGGAAAGAAAAGUGUAUCAGAUCUCAGUCGUUGGAUCCGUUUAGGAUCAACAACUAAGAUCUAAAAAUUGAAAAUUUGGAAUUGAGUUUCAAAUGGCUAGAAUUGUAAGAAAUUGGACAAAAUUAAGUUAAAAGGUGAAUAAAUUUAGGCAAAAUGAAUUAAAUUAGGCUGUUAUUUAAAUUAAAAUAGGGAUAAUAGUAUAUAAUAAUAAUAAUUAAAUAAUACAUAACAAUAUUAAAUAAUAAGUAAUAAAUAAUAAUAAUUAAAUAAUAAAUAAUAAUAAUUAAUAAUAAAUAAUUUAAUAAAAUAA
RNAcentral lists this long non-coding RNA (732 nucleotides) under Capsicum annuum. RNAcentral's name for it is "long non-coding RNA (CANN_LNC021943)". Lineage: Eukaryota; Viridiplantae; Streptophyta; Magnoliopsida; Solanales; Solanaceae. The record is from RNAcentral.